Molecule: long non-coding RNA, 585 nt
Filed under: Phoenix dactylifera (date palm)
Lineage: Eukaryota; Viridiplantae; Streptophyta; Magnoliopsida; Arecales; Arecaceae
Description: long non-coding RNA (PDAC_LNC017836)
Source: RNAcentral
AUGAUGAUGAUGAUGUGUCGGAGUCCGAUAGGGUGGAGACAAGGACUUUCUUUUUCUUGUACUUGCUCCCCUUCUUCAGCAAAGGACACUCAGCUCUGAAGUGCCCCGGCUUCUUACACUCAUAACAUCCAAUCCCCUCAUUUUCUCUUUCCUUACCUUUAUCCUUGUGAUAGGAAUUUGAGGGGCCUCUCCUUUAAUGAGAGGACUUCUUCCGGUUGAUGAAUCUUCAGAAUUUUCUUACAGGGAGUGCCUCAUCAUCAUCUCCCUCAUUGUCUUCCUCUUCACUGCUACUGCUGCAAGACACAUCUUUGUUAGUGGAAACAGAUUUUAGUGCUAUUACCUUUUUCUUGUGAGAGGACUCUUCUUGAUUGUGUUGUUUCAUUGUUAGCUCAUGCGUCAUGAGGGAUCCAAGUAGCUCCUCGAGUGGCAGCUUGUUUAAAUCCUUAGCCUCUUGGAUUGCCGUCACCUUGGCUUCCCAUGACCUUGGUAGACAACGAAGAAUCUUCCUGACAAGCUCACUGUUAGUAUAAUUUUUGCCAAGGCUUUUUAGGCCAUUGACAAUGUCAGUAAAUCUAGUGAACAUGC